GACGAACGCUGGCGGCGUGCCUAAUACAUGCAAGUAGAACGCACAGUUUAUACCGUAGCUUGCUACACCAUAGACUGUGAGUUGCGAACGGGUGAGUAACGCGUAGGUAACCUGCCUGGUAGCGGGGGAUAACUAUUGGAAACGAUAGCUAAUACCGCAUAAUAUUAAUUAUUGCAUGAUAAUUAAUUGAAAGGUGCAAUUGCACCACUACCAGAUGGACCUGCGUUGUAUUAGCUAGUAGGUGAGGUAACGGCUCACCUAGGCGAAGAUACAUAGCCGACCUGGGAGGGUGAUCGGGCACACUGGGACUGAGACACGGCCCAGACUCCUACGGGAGGCAGCAGUAGGGAAUCUUCGGCAAUGGACGAAAGUCUGGCCGAGCAAAGCCGCGUGGGUGAAGAAGGGUUUCGGAUCGUAAAGAUCUGUUGUAAGAGAAGAACGGGAGUGGGAGUGGAAAGUUCACACUGUGACGGUAUCUUACCAGAAAGGGACGGCUAACUACGUG
RNAcentral lists this ribosomal RNA (505 nucleotides) under uncultured bacterium. RNAcentral's name for it is "partial 16S ribosomal RNA". It matches the Rfam family "Bacterial small subunit ribosomal RNA", at positions 28 to 507 of the family's 1533-position model. The record is from RNAcentral.